This is a small nuclear RNA of Ipomoea triloba (trilobed morning glory), 106 nucleotides long. The record is from RefSeq and is a predicted model, not a curated record. NCBI's taxonomy places the organism in Eukaryota, Viridiplantae, Streptophyta, Magnoliopsida, Solanales, Convolvulaceae.
AUCCUUUCAGGGACAUCCGGAUAUCCAAUAAAAUUGGAACGAUAAAGAAAAGAUUAGCAUGACCCUCUUAAGGAUGACAUGUACAAAUCGAGAAGUCCAAAUUUUU